UUGUGUUAAUACGACCAAUAAAUGCUGGAGAUGCACACGGGGUCAAACUCAGCGGGGACAUACAGGCCAGCGGCCCCCCCCGGAGAACAAGGACUAGGAUACUGGUGGACCUGCUGACUAUCUCCUGAAGAUUGUAUAUUGCUCCUGAUUCCAGCAUUUUCAGCCACUUAUGCCUCCGCUCCUGAGAGUCUUUUUGACUACCAAUCCUGCCAUCACCAUUCACCAGGCUGCAAAACCUUCAGCCUGAUGAUGAAAAUUUGCUCUAUUGGACAAAGAGUGCCUGAGAAGUUCAUGGAAAAAUAAGCCUAUUUUGCAUUGCCACUGCUUGACAGAGUGCAUUAUACAGUGAAAAAUGAGCACCAAUUCAGAAUAAUAAAGGACUAUCAGAGCUGAACUACAUUACCUUCAUCCCAGGAUAUAAAUUACAUGAAACAUCUCCAUGACUCUCCAAAUCAUUUUCACUGGAUGAAUGAAAUAUAUAUGGUGCCGCAUAAAAGAUUAAUUUUUUGUGUUUUGUCAUAUAUCUAUGCUUCCUUUUUUCAAACUCUUCCUGUAUUUUCUAUUAAUCGGGUUUUCAUUUGAAACGGUAAAAUGACAAGUUUUGCUGGCACCCAUGCAACAAAGUGUUAUUUCAUGGCGAUAUUUGUCCACAUUUAACAAAUCAUGCACGGUGGAUUUCAAUAUAAAUUGGUCAGCAGGAUUUCAUCUGCACAAGGUGCCCUGGAAGUGAUUUAUACUUACCUACUUAAUACUACACUAUGUUAUUAGCACACUAUAAAUGCACACUUAUUUUUAGAUCAUGAAAUCAGUAAUGACCUCUCUUCUGUUUUUGUAUUGGAUUAGGAAGGUAUUUUCUAUCUUAGAAUACAUGACACUCAUAGAACAAUUAAUCCCUUCCAAUAGCGAGUUAGACAAAUCACCAAGCAAGUUACUUGCAAAACUAUUACAGUGAAUGUUACUAUGAACAAAUGUUAUUUACAUCAUGGAGAAUCUACCCUGUUCUGAAAAGUUAAUUUCAAAAUCUAAAAUCUGAGUGGAAUAAUCUUUGGUUUUACCUUCUCCAGUAGACAUGGAGAUUUUAUGAGCCAGCUAUGUAAUAGAAGAAGGAGCAAGCUAUGCAGUAGUUGGAGGAAUCUAUUGUUAAUAGUCAUAACUUGCAGUUCAUUUUGGAAUAUUUUCAGUAAUUAAUAUUUUGUGGUAGAAAAUUUUGAAGACAUAGCAGAUCAGCCAAUUCAGCAAAAUUAAAAGUUGUGUAUUUGUUAGUGUGUUUUACAACACAGAUCUUUUAUAGGUAGUGCUAACUAAUACCAAGUUAAAGUUCAGCAUUCAUAAAUUACUAAUGCACAUGGAGCAAAAAAUAUAAUAAUUGAAAACAUGCAUAUUCAUUGCUAUGCCAUCUUAAAAUAUUUUGAAUAUAAACUAUUGAAUGCUUUUCAUUACCGGAAAUCACUUCAGAAAACAAGUUAUUUUCUUGCAUUUUAUGCCAAAAAUAAGCAUUCAUCAGGAUUGCAUAUUUUAAGUAAACAGUUGGUAGACAUCUAGGAAGGCAUAAUAAAUCCAGUUGCUAUUUUACACUAAUCCCUCUGCAAAAUAAUACUUGGUUCCUUUUCUCAGCUUUCCAUUUUCCAAUUAACUUGCACAGCCAAAUAACCUUCAGGAGUCUGAAGAAAGGUCCUGAUCUGAAACUUCACCUGUCUGGGCCCUCCAGUGAUGCUGUCUGACCCUCUGAGUUGCUUCAGCACUUUAUGGAUUAAAUAACCUAGUUCCUUUGUCAAUACUUUAUGGCACAACCAGAUGUUUUUUGAAAAAGGCCAAUGCAUAAUUGUCUUAGCCUUGAAAAGAAUGCCUAAUUUUUACUUUACCAUUUCCUAAGCUAAAGAUGAAAAUGUUGUCUAUGAGGGACAGUAGACACAUAUAGUGUCAAUCUGCUGAUAUACCUGUAACGGUUAUUCGAUAUGCAGAACAAUUAAAGAUUAGAUUCAUGCUAUGCAGUUCAUUUAUUUUUGACUUAGGCAAUGGGAGUUGCAUGAAAUAUAUUAUGGAAGAUAGACCACCACAAAUGAAACAGAGAAUCUUAUUAAAAUAAUGGGCAUUGAAAACUUAGCUUAUUUCCCAUUAGGUGCGAUUAAGGGUGACGUCUGAACUCAAUAUAAACAUGAUUUAUAGAACAACAUUCAAGAAGAGCUCUGAUGUCAAAUAAUUUAACUUCCUCAGGAAAAUGCAGAAAGCAUUGCUCAUUAGAUAUGAUGCUCAUAAUGAUAGUUGUUGAAGACUAAGAAGGCCAAAUUCUAUAUUAACCCAUAAUUAAGUCCGGCUGUUGAGCUACGAAGAGCAGUAGAGGAGGAUCACACAAUCCUGAAGAAUGAAUAUUCUUCAAUUUACAUUA
Molecule: long non-coding RNA, 2386 nt
Organism: Leucoraja erinaceus (little skate)
Lineage: Eukaryota; Metazoa; Chordata; Chondrichthyes; Rajiformes; Rajidae
Exons: 4
Source: RefSeq, a predicted model, not a curated record